CAAAGGUUUGGUCCUGACCUUGAAGUCAAUUUUUACUUAACUUAUACAUGCAAGUCUCCGCACCCCUGUGAAAACACCCUUUAGGCCCCUCCAAGGGGGAAGGAGUUGGUAUCAGGCACAAAUAUUAGCCCAAGACACCUAGCCAAGCCACACCCACAAGGGAACUCAGCAGUAAUUAACUUUGAACAUAAGCGACAGCUUGAUUCAGUCAAAGUAAAAAGAGCCGGCUAAUCUGGUGCCAGCCGCCGCGGUUACACCACGUGGCUCAAAUUGACCCAACUCGGCGUAAAGCGUGAUUUAAGAGAAUACUUCUGGUGUCAAAAACAUACUAAGCUGUGACACGCUUGUACCCAAGAAGACCUAAAUCGAAAGAUACACCAACCUGACCAACUUGAAUCCACGACAGCUAGGAAACAAACUGGGAUUAGAUACCCCACUAUGCCUAACCGUAAACUUUAACUUACAUAUAAACCGCCAGGGAACUACGAGCUAAGCUUAAAACCCAAAGGACUUGACGGUACCCCAAAUCCACCUAGAGGAGCCUGUCCUACAAUCGAUAACCCCCGCUUAACCUCACCACUUCUAGCAAAUCAGCCUGUAUACCUCCGUCGUCAGCUUACCGCGUGAGCGCCUUUAAGUGAGCUUAAUGCCCAUACGCCAAUACGUCAGGUCAAGGUGCAGCUAAUGAAGUGGGAAGAGAUCGGCUACACUCUCUACCUAUAGAAAAAACGAAAGACCACUUAUGAAACCUGGUCAGAAGGAGGAUUUAGCAGUAAAAAGAAAACAGAGUGCUCUUUUUAACCCGGCACUGGGGUGUGUACACACCGCCCGUCACCCUCUUCAUAGGCCCAACCAAAGUACAUAACAUAAUCCUGCCACAUAGAAGAGGCAAGUCGUAACAUGGUAAGUAUACCGGAAGGUGUGCUUGGAAACAU
This 935-nucleotide non-coding RNA is filed under the name Leptodactylus fallax (mountain chicken frog). RNAcentral describes it as "12S ribosomal RNA". It matches the Rfam family "Bacterial small subunit ribosomal RNA". The record is from RNAcentral. Lineage: Eukaryota; Metazoa; Chordata; Amphibia; Anura; Leptodactylidae.